RNAcentral lists this ribosomal RNA (298 nucleotides) under uncultured bacterium. RNAcentral describes it as "partial 16S ribosomal RNA". It matches the Rfam family "Bacterial small subunit ribosomal RNA", at positions 334 to 628 of the family's 1533-position model. The record is from RNAcentral.
AACGUCCUACGGGGGGCAGCAGUGAGGAAUAUUGGUCAAUGGGCGGAAGCCUGAACCAGCCAAGUCGCGUGAGGGAAUAAGGCCCUACGGGUCGUAAACCUCUUUUGCCGGGGAGCAAGGGCCGGGACGAGUCCCGGUCCGGAGAGUACCCGGAGAAAAAGCAUCGGCUAACUCCGUGCCAGCAGCCGCGGUAAUACGGAGGAUGCGAGCGUUAUCCGGAUUUAUUGGGUUUAAAGGGUGCGUAGGCGGGCUUUUAAGUCAGCGGUAAAAAUUCGGGGCUCAACCCCGUCCGGCCGGU